This 1511-nucleotide long non-coding RNA is filed under the name Durio zibethinus. RNAcentral describes it as "long non-coding RNA (DZIB_LNC001979)". Lineage: Eukaryota; Viridiplantae; Streptophyta; Magnoliopsida; Malvales; Malvaceae. The record is from RNAcentral.
AAAUUUUGCCACAACAAUAAUCUCCACAAAGUAUAUUGUAUGUAAAUUUGUGGGAUAAUUAACUUCCAAUUCAAAUUGGCUCCGUAUGCGUCUUGAUAUUUUUUGAACAGUAUUUUUUGAACACUUUACUGUUCAUAUGUAUAGGAUACUUUGAUUUUCAAAAUUAAUAUAAAAAAUUGUCAAAACAAAAUUUAUUCAUGUUUGAUGUCUUAUCACACGAGUUCAUAUAACAUAGUGUAUAAAUAACAUAUCAUUGAAUUAAUUAUUAAAUCACCACAAUAAAAACAAGCAUGGAGAACCAUCUAUGACAUGCAAGUAGACAUAACUACAUACUGCUCAUCCAUACAAGCUGCUAUAAGGAACUAAUAAAGAACCAGCAAACCAAACUGAACACAAAAAACCAUGUUUCUUUAGAGUACAUGAAUUUUGCCAACAAUGUCUUGGCCAAGCGAUAAGAAGAGGAUUUAUGAGACAUGUAAGCUUGAGUUCGAGUCCAAAUAAAAAAAUACAUGAAAUUUGUCUUACAUGAAUGGCUAAACAUGACUUUAUUCACAAUAUCAAAUAUGCAAAUGCUAUGAAAUGUAGAGUAAACUAGUUCUUCACUGCAAAGUAAAACUGAAAAAUAGAGAUCCAACCAGUUGACGGUGCCAUAAAACAGAAAGCUCAAACGAUGAUAAGCAUAAUCAAGUAUCAACCACCUAUCAUUGAGGCAAAGAAUGAAUAAGAAUUUAACAAGAAACUUGAUUAAGGAAAUCAUAAAUACAUGGACAGAGGCAUAUUCAAGAUUUUUGUAGGGAAGUAAUUAUUAUCCAUGAAAAUAGUGUUUAAAAGAAAAUUUUGAAUGUUUAUGGAAAAUUUCUUUUAAAAUUUCUUAUUUUCUAAUUUUAACAGUGUCCCAAAAAAAUAUGAGGGUAUCCAACACAAAAUUUUUCUUUAAAUUUUUUUGAUUUUCAAUGUACACCCCACAAUGCCAUGUAAAUCCACCACUAUACAUGGAAAAAGCCAUAUUUACCUGUUUAGCUUAACAAGUUUCUCCUUAAAUUUUCAUUUCCUUGCGUAACAUUAUCCUUGUUUCUCCCAGAGUCAUAUAUAGAGGUAUUUGAUGUUGCCAGCCACGAUCCCAAAAUAUAUCAUUGCAGGUGGAUUGAUUAUCAACUAUUUCUUCCAUUGUGGUGAAACCUUCUGUUGUAUUAUUCUGAACUUGUUGGGGUUCCUUCACAACAAAAGACAGUUCUCAUUAAGUAAGUUAUGCUAGAAGUAAGUAAUUAAUUAAUUAAUUAAUUAUGCAUAUGACUUGUGUAUGUAUAUAAAAGUCAUCCAAUUCAUAAUAAUAUGUAGUUAUAUACUAACAUAACUUUGUUUCCAUCAUCGUUUCAUCAUUAGUAUCAAUAUGAUCAAGAACAACAAAUUAAUUAAUUCAGCAUAAUAGUUAGAAAAAAAAAAAUUGGUUAGGUACCUCUGUUACCUCUGUUAUGGCAGGCACAGGAUGUUUUGAAUCCAUGAUGACACUU